GAUGAACGCUGGCGGCGUGCCUAAUACAUGCAAGUCGAGCGAACAGACGAGGAGCUUGCUCCUCUGACGUUAGCGGCUGACGGGUGAGUAACACGUGGAUAACCUACCUAUAAGACUGGGAUAACUUCGGGAAACCGGUGCUAAUACCGGAUAAUAUAUUGAACCGCAUGGUUCAAUAGUUAAAUACGGUUUUUCUGUCUCUUAUAGAUGGAUCCGCGCCGGAUUAGCUAGUUGGUAAGGUAACGGCUUACCAAGGCAACGAUGCGUAGCCGACCUGAGAGGGUGAUCGGCCACACUGGAAAUGAGACACGGUCCAGACUCCUACGGGAGGCAGCAGUAGGGAAUCUUCCGCAAUGGGCGAAAGCUUGACGGAGCAACGCCGCGUGAGUGAUGAAGGUCUUCGGAUCGUAAAACUCUGUUAUUAGGGAAGAACAAAUGUGUAAGUAACUAUGCACGUCUUGACGGUACCUAAUCAGAAAGCCACGGCUAACUACGUG
This 497-nucleotide ribosomal RNA is filed under the name uncultured bacterium. Its description in RNAcentral is "partial 16S ribosomal RNA". It matches the Rfam family "Bacterial small subunit ribosomal RNA", at positions 28 to 507 of the family's 1533-position model. The record is from RNAcentral.